UGAGCUCAGUUUGCUCA
This 17-nucleotide unclassified non-coding RNA is filed under the name synthetic construct. The record is from RNAcentral.